CCGAGCUCCUCGCUCCCUCCACUCCCUCCACACCGCCUCCUCCCAUCUCUUGACGAGGCAGCUCCCAAGCGAGGAUCCAGCGCCUCCCUACACUGCGGCUGUCCAUCCCUCCUCAUCCUGGAUCCUGCAGGGCCGAGGUGUAAGGGUGCGGAGGCAAGCUUUUCCGGCGGCGGGGGCGACCUACAGGCAAAGGGCGACCGGCGGCGCUCGAUUCGAUCUGCGGGAGAUAAUAUGAGAGGGAGGGAGAGAAGGGAGGAGAUGAGGGAGAAAGAGAGAGGAAAGAGGAGAGGGACGUGCAGGGGCGGACGGGAGAGGGUCACCGGAAGGAGCGCCCCGGCUCGUCGUUCACACCGCCCUGGAGGAAGAGGAGAGGGAGGUGCAGCAGUGGAUGGGAGAGGGCCACUGGAAGGAGCGUGGCCGGCGUCGUUCGCACCACGCGUGAGCAGAGAUGCCUCUAUACAGCCCUCAUGCCCGCAGAGUACACAAGUGGUUGCCCCUGAGGUCUCCUCCUUGUCCGGCUUGUUCAUUAAGGUCGGCAGGGGGAAGGUCCAGGGUGAGACCUUCAAGAUGGAUUUGAUGUUGCUAUUAUUUCAGUUUGUGGAAAGGGGAUGUGAUUCCAGCAAGACAGAGACGACGGCAAUGACAAGUGAGAUUUCUGUUAAGGAGUAUUAGUAGAUGUUCACAUGAUCGCUGGAAGCAUAUAAAGGUAUCCACAGUGAUGGUUGCUUUCUUAUCGACACAUAAUUUAUUUAUAAUUAUUGAUAGUGUACCUUUGUGAUCGUAGCUGCAAUCCAUCUCAAUGUGUAGUUUCUGAACGUCCAUGUCCAUCGCCAGCUUAACAGCCUGUCAGAGCAACUCAGCCACUUCAGGGCUACAAACCUGAUUGAACACAUGACACGCAUCUCCUUUGAAAGCUCCAUCUUGAUCUCUAAACACUACACCACCACCAGCUAUACUUCCCGACUUUGAGCUCGCACCACCACUCCACCAGCAGUGAAAUGAACCUUGAUUUGAACCGUUCCAGUUUGUCUCUGGUUGUACUCUAUUUGGAUCCAAAUAGAGUAAGAAGGAAAAGGAAAUGCAUUGCGAGUGAGCAGGGCAAGAUUUUGUUCGGCAAGGGCAUUAACUGUAGGUAAGCGGAUGCAGUGAGCCAGUGACCAGAGAGUCUCGUGAUCAGACUGUGGGUGGUUAUUGUUGCAUUAUUCAUAUCUCCCCUGUUUUGAGUAUAACCCAGUAGCUGAAAGUUUAUGUAUAGUCAAAUGUAAUUGACUAACUAGAGAGUUCAUGUAUCUACAUGAAAAUAAGUUAAUACAAAUGAAAAGUUGUUGAAUGCAUUUAUCUUCGUUCAAUGUGUGCCCCAUAGUUAAUUCAAGUUCUUACAUUAGAAAGAAAAUGGACAACCAUUCUCAAAUGCUGACACUUCUUAGAACUUCUCUUUUCAUAACUGCAACUUCUGUACUUCGUGAGCAUGUAGUGCAGUGCCAAAUAUUUGGGAUGUCGCGUAUACAUAGAUUAUAUUGCAUGGCUUUUUGAUACUAAAUGGCACAAUGUUUCUUUGUUCCCUAAUUUCCCUCCUACUUUUUCUUCAGUUUCCAAAUACACUUUCAACUACUAAUUAUUUCAGUUUAUUCUGGACAUGCAAUUUGAUGCAACAUAGUUCUCAUGAUACCAGUAAUCUUCAAUAGACAAAGGAAUUUGUGCAAAAUGGAGAAAAUAAAUAAGCCAAUCUUUUACCCUAUACAUAUACAAUAUUUAAUGAUGUGGUUAGUAAGGCCUUCCUUUGGUGGCUAAUUUUUUUAUUGUUAUGCUUGAAACAAUUUUUUAAACUGAUAAUGAUCUAGAAUAAAAUAGACCAAUGAUAUUCAAACCGACGAGGAGGCUGGGGCACGUCUUCUGACCUGUAGCAGACUGUACAGGCAGCGGGGCGCCGGUCUCGCUAUUGGUCUAGACCAUGGGCGCAGCUUGGUCGAGCUACAGCGAGUGCAUCUGAUUCCAACACAUCAAGGUUGAUGAUACAGAGGUUAUCGACGUCUCCUGCAAACUGAAUUAAUUCCUUUGUGCUUGAGUACCAUGGAGAUGGGCAGUGAGCUAUCAGAAAACAUAUGUAGCUAACCAUGUCAAUCAUCAUCUAAAUAUUAUCACGAUCUUCCUUUUUUUGUUUAGCCUAGCAAAGGUCAAAUUACUUCUUCUUUUCAAAAGGUAAAUUUUGUUGUCUGAAGUUUGUUUGGAACAAUAUAUACUAACCGUCAGUUCACAUGUUCUUGAUUAUCUAUAGCCUACUCUGCCACGCAAUGCUCCGGCUAAUUUUUUCCUCAUGUUGUCGUUUGCUCAUUGUUAUCUUGGCUGUGGUUCUUCCUUCUGGUAAUGCACUGCUCCUUAGCUUCUUUCGUUGCAUUUCUUAUGAGUCCUGCGUUUUGCGUAUGUUGCUGCCUUUGAAAUUGAUAGUAUGUGCUUUCUUUUGCUUGGUAUAAUUUGGUGGGUGUAUUUUCUGGUGCUAGGCCUACUUUUGUGUAGUUUAGCCGUCUACAUAUACCAUGGGUUGUGCGCUUGCGUGCUGACGAUGAUGUUAGCAUGGUUUAUUUUCUAUUCUUUCUGCUAGAUUAACUUACAAUCAGAUUGCAUGUUGUAGUGGAGCUAAAAAUACAGUGGCUGGCUGUGUCUCUUAGUUUGGCAGAAAGCACAACAUGUCAAGUUGAUCGAUGGCCAUCUUCCUCAGUUUCUGCAUAUUUAUUAUUGGGAAGAGAACCAGGCUACUAAUCGAUUAAUAAAAGUUUAUAGCUCUGUUCUCCUUCCAUUCAUUUCUUCAGUAUUAUUCUCUUAGAUUAAAGGUAUUAUUGUGAUGUCGUCCUAUUGUUAUGUAUGUAUUGGAUGACCAUUCAGACAUGUUUUAAUGCGUUGAUAGAUAGAUGCGCUUUAUGUCUGCAUUGUUGUGCCUGUGUUCUUACGUUUUUGUCUGUGUUUUGCAGGUUAGACGAACUGCUAUGUUCCUAGACCUGCAGCUCAUUUCUGCUCCUCAAGAGCUGGUGUCCACGCCUUCAUCUUAGCUGGUGUCCACGUGUUCAUCAGAGCUCGUGUCCACGGCUUCAGCAGAGCUACUGUCCACACUUUCGUCAGAGCUAAAACAACAUAGACUAAUCAAGUCACAUUACUGUGACGACGUGUAAAUCUGCCCGAGGUUUUGAAUGGUACUCCUUCCAUCCGAAAAUACUUGUCAUCAAAAUGGAUAAAAGAGGAUGUAUCUAGACAUGUUUUAGUUCUAGAUACAUCUCUUUUUGUCCAUUUUGAUGACAAGUAUUUCCGGACGGAGGGAGUACUUUACACCACCAAAUUAGAUUGUGUGUAUAUAUAUAUCUCAUUGUACACGGCUAAACACCUUUUUUUUACUAAAGGAGAUUAUGUUUGCUAUUAUAUGUACUUGGCUACUUGCCCACAAGAGGUCUUUUAUCAUCGGGGCUUGUUACAGUCAUGAUCAGUUGAUGCUUUUAAAAUAUUUCUAUACAAGUAUCUAUAAAAAAUUGUAAAAGGAAUUGUUGAAUAUAUUUAAUUUUUGUAAUCAUGUAGGUCAUCUUGUGGUCUGUGGACAUUUAAUUUUAUGGAGUAUCUCAUAGGAGGUUUGACCUCUCAAAGGUGUAUGACAGAGUGGACUGGGGGUUCUUGAAGCAGGCGAUGGAAAAGUUUGGCUUCUCUCAUCAUUGGGUAUAAUGGAUAAUGACAUGUGUAACCUCGGUGAGCUAUUCAGUAAAAUUUAAUGGAGCCAUCUUGGAUUCUUUUGCACCGAUGCGAGGGCUUCGGCAAGGUGACCCCCU
This is a long non-coding RNA of Triticum dicoccoides, 3806 nucleotides long. RefSeq lists it as uncharacterized. NCBI's taxonomy places the organism in Eukaryota, Viridiplantae, Streptophyta, Magnoliopsida, Poales, Poaceae. The record is from RefSeq and is a predicted model, not a curated record. The transcript has 6 exons.